RNAcentral lists this unclassified non-coding RNA (744 nucleotides) under Hevea brasiliensis (rubber tree). The record is from RNAcentral. Lineage: Eukaryota; Viridiplantae; Streptophyta; Magnoliopsida; Malpighiales; Euphorbiaceae.
AUUUAACCAGUUUAUGGUGCAGAGCAAGUAUUUUAGCUAAAUUAGAUGCAUAUUUUCUUAUUUAGCAAAGCUUCUGAACCUGCCACUCAGCCAACACCUACGUGGCACAAUUUUGAGCUGCAGUUACUAAUGCAUUGGUCCGAGUUUAGGAUCAUAAUUAUUUUAGCUGUGUCAACUACUGGUGUGUUAGACCUCCUCCUCUUCUUCUUGCCCCCUCUUUUCUUGUUCAGUUUCUAAGUUGCUAACAUCUGGACUGAGCUACAUUUCUUUGGCAUGCAUCCUGCUAAAUUGGAACUUCACUUUGAGCAAGAAGGCAUCUGUGAAAUUGUUGAUAUACAGCAGAAUAGUUGAGGAAGCUUCCCUUAUGCAUCUUUGCAGCGAGAUGCCUUGUGAGCACAGUGAGAAAUUGGAACAAGAACUUCCUUGAACAUGUUUGACAAAGGGUGAUCUCUUUACCUUAUUUUGAGGGGGAAAUAAAACUUCUUACCCUGUGUUAUUGAGAGAAUUGUAACACUAGUCCCCCUUUGCCUUUGUAACCAGGUUUGAUCUUGGAGAGCAUAAUUGCCAGGGGAGGAAAUCUAUUUGGCUGUACUAAACUUCUUACCCCGUUGUCUACUAAGUCAUUUUAGAUGGUUUAGCUUAGGUAUUCACAGUUUUAGUUGGUAUUUUGAGGUGUUAUUUAUAUGUAUUAAUGACUUUACAUCUGUAACAUAAUCAGCCCCUGGUAAUUCAAGUUAUAUUAAU